Molecule: ribosomal RNA, 433 nt
Filed under: uncultured bacterium
Lineage: Bacteria
Description: partial 16S ribosomal RNA
Rfam family: Bacterial small subunit ribosomal RNA
Source: RNAcentral
AACGAACGCUGGCGGCAUGCCUAACACAUGCAAGUCGAACGAGACCUUCGGGUCUAGUGGCGCACGGGUUCGUAACGCGUGGGAACCUGCCCUUAGGUUCGGAAUAACUCCCCGAAAGGGGUGCUAAUACCGGAUAAUGUCUUCGGACCAAAGAUUUAUCGCCUUUGGAUGGGCCCGCGUUGGAUUAGCUAGUUGGUAGGGUAAAAGCCUACCAAGGCGACGAUCCAUAGCUGGUCUGAGAGGAUGAUCAGCCACACUGGGACUGAGACACGGCCCAGAAUCCUACGAGAGGCAGCAGUGGGGAAUAUUGGACAAUGGGCGAGAGCCUGAUCAAGCAAUGCCGCGUGAGUGAUGAAGGCCUUAGGGUUGUAAAGCUCUUUUAACCGGGAUGAUAAUGACAGUACCGGGAGAAUAAGCGCCGGCUAACUCCGUG